RNAcentral lists this ribosomal RNA (443 nucleotides) under uncultured bacterium. RNAcentral describes it as "partial 16S ribosomal RNA". It matches the Rfam family "Bacterial small subunit ribosomal RNA", at positions 338 to 795 of the family's 1533-position model. The record is from RNAcentral.
CCUACGGGAGACUGCAGUGGGGAAUAUUGGGCAAUGGGCGCAAGCCUGACCCAGCAACGCCGCGUGAAGGAAGAAGGCUUUCGGGUUGUAAACUUCUUUUCUCAGGGACGAAGCAAGUGACGGUACCGGAGGAAUAAGCCACGGCUAACUACGUGCCAGCAGCCGCGGUAAUACGUAGGUGGCAAGCGUUAGCCGGAUUUACUGGGUGUAAAGGGCGUGUAGGCGGGGACGCAAGUCAGAUGUGAAAACCACGGGCUCAACCUGUGGCCUGCAUUUGAAACUGUGUUUCUUGAGUACUGGAGAGGCAGUCUGACUUCCUAGUGUAGCGGUGAAAUGCGUAGAUAUUAGGCGGAACCCCAGUGGCGAAGGCGGUCUGCUGGACCGCAACUGACGCUGAGGCGCGAACGCGUGGGGAGCAAACAGGAUUAGCUACCCGGGUAGUC